This 618-nucleotide ribosomal RNA is filed under the name Xiphonectes longispinosus. Its description in RNAcentral is "partial 16S ribosomal RNA". It matches the Rfam family "Bacterial large subunit ribosomal RNA", at positions 1852 to 2727 of the family's 2925-position model. The record is from RNAcentral. Lineage: Eukaryota; Metazoa; Arthropoda; Malacostraca; Decapoda; Portunidae.
GUCUGACCUGCUCAGUGACAUUACAAUGUUAAAUAGCCGCGGUAUCUUGACCGUGCAAAGGUAGCAUAAUCAUUAGUUUCUUAAUUGGAAACUAGUAUGAAUGGUCGAACAAAGGAAUGACUGUCUUUUUUAUUAAUAUUGAAUUUAACUUUUAGGUGAAAAGGCCUAAAUUUUCCAGAGGGACGAUAAGACCCUAUAAAGCUUUAUAAAUUUAGAAAUUUUAAAUAUGUUUAUAAUAACUUUCUUUUUUGACGAUUUAUUUAGUUGGGGCGACUAAGGUAUAAUAUGUAAUAACUGCUAUUUAAUAUAUACAAAAUAAAUGUCUAUAUGUAUUUUUAAUUGAUCCUUUAUAAAGAUUAAAAGACUAAGUUACUUUAGGGAUAACAGCGUUAUUCUUUCUGAGAGUUCUUAUCAAAGAAAGAGUUUGCGACCUCGAUGUUGAAUUAAGAGAUUCUAUAUAGUGCAGCAGCUAUAUCAGAGGGUCUGUUCGACCCUUAAUAUCUUACAUGAUUUGAGUUCAGACCGGCGAGAGCCAGGUCGGUUUCUAUCUUUUGGAAUUAAAAAGAUUAUUUUAGUACGAAAGGAUUAAAUAAUCAAAAGUGGUUUAAAUAUUGAAAU